UUGCUGAUAUUCACAUAAUUCUGAUUUUGUAAUAAACAGGACGGGCUAAACAUUUGCUCUAAUAAGACCAUGCAUGUGUCCCAUACUAGUUCUGUACCUACCUAGUUCUGGUCUUUGAAUUGCUGUAUGUGGAA
Suncus etruscus (white-toothed pygmy shrew) is the source of this 134-nucleotide small nucleolar RNA. RefSeq annotates it as small nucleolar RNA SNORA72. The record is from RefSeq and is a predicted model, not a curated record. Lineage: Eukaryota; Metazoa; Chordata; Mammalia; Eulipotyphla; Soricidae. The transcript has a single exon.